AAGUCGUAACAAGGUUUCCGUAGGUGAACCUGCGGAAGGAUCAUUAACACGUAUCCAACGUUAAAACCCCCCCGUGAACUUCAGUGUGCUCGUACGCUUUGUUAAGAGUGUGCUUGUAGCGCGAGGCAGCCUGGCAUCCUUGUCUGAAAGUGUCAAGGGUGGCGCAGUCACGAUCGCUAGAGGCCGACACGGGCUCACGGGCCUGCGCUUAAUUGUGCGGCC
Molecule: unclassified non-coding RNA, 222 nt
Filed under: fungal sp.
Lineage: Eukaryota; Fungi
Description: partial internal transcribed spacer region
Rfam family: Eukaryotic small subunit ribosomal RNA (bases 1-46)
Source: RNAcentral